This 83-nucleotide transfer RNA is filed under the name Chaetachme aristata. RNAcentral describes it as "tRNA-Leu". The record is from RNAcentral. Lineage: Eukaryota; Viridiplantae; Streptophyta; Magnoliopsida; Rosales; Ulmaceae.
AAAUUAUACCAAAUCCAUUGGUUAAUGAUUCUGAAUAACUCAACUAAGGCUAGAAAAUUCUAUAUUUUGUAUAUUUUCAUUUU